Lolium perenne is the source of this 1342-nucleotide long non-coding RNA. RefSeq lists it as uncharacterized. Lineage: Eukaryota; Viridiplantae; Streptophyta; Magnoliopsida; Poales; Poaceae. The record is from RefSeq and is a predicted model, not a curated record.
UUCACACAUUACUUGGGAAUGUAUGCUGAGAAUUUUCUCCUUUUGUUCUUAGGUUCACAAAAGUAUGCAUUGCAUGACUCACAGAUUAUUGGAUUAGACAUAAACUGAAAUUAUUAUACUUGUCCUGGGAUCCUACCAUCUGACCAAUUCAUUCCCGCUUUCUUUUCUCAUAUUUCGCUUUUUUAAGUGUAUCCCGAUGAGUCUUUCCUUUUUCUUGUCUCAAAUCGCUACUUGCUUCAGUAAAUCAGUUUACUUAUCACAAUCUUUUCGUUGUUCAUAGCUCAUGUUCAGAUAGAUAUAAAACUUGAACCAUAAAUUAUGCCGAGGAGGGUCUAUUGUGAGGGUUGUAGCUGUAUGAGAUAGGGUCAGUACGACUUCAGCAUCACAGUCGUUGUACUGGUGGUAGCAACAAUGAUUCUCCACACAGGUGCCGGUGGCUAUGUCUCUUUAAAAUGAUGUGUAUGCCGCUCGAUUCUUGAGCCCUUCUUGGUUAUUCAUUAAUUGGAUAAAAUAUCAGGCCAUGUGUGAAUCUUUAUGGUUAAUUGCAGUCCCACGGAGUACUUAUUUUAUAGAGUUAUGAUAUACGUUGCAUAUUAGUUUUGUGGCAUACAAUCUGCCCAUCACAAUUUUGUUCGAAUGGUAGGAGGAUAAUAUUUAGGAAGGUUUUGGUAGUUUAAACGUGUGCAAGAUGAUAUUUAAAUGUAUGUAAUAAAUAAUUUUGUGUGUGCCUGCUAACAUGUUUGAUAUAUGAAAUUCAGGACAUCGAGCAAGAGUCUAUUACUAAAUUUGCAGGGGAGAAGCAUAUGACCAAGGUAUCUGCAUCACUAUUGAUUUCAAGGGAAGAAGCAGGUGCCAUUCUUCACCUCUAUAGAUGACUGAGCUAUGCAGCCCCGCAAUACAAGCCAAGACUUCCGCUUCUUCAGAGCUCGGGCACCAAGGUAAAUGCUUCCAUUCCGAUAACACCGUAUAACCAGAAUGAUCCCGAAUGACAAUGCCAAUCCCCGCCCUACAACUCAUUGCAUCCCACCCAGCAUCAACAUUGGCUUUCAAAGAGCCAAUGGCUGGAGCUGUCCAUCGGUUCACCACCGAUAAACCCUCAGAACUAUCAGUAGACGCAUUACUGACGAGCAUCUUCCCCUUAGGAUCCGAAACCGUACCACUCGCGGAUAUGAAAUUAUCCAGGUAGUUCCUGAGAUAAGGAAUAGAGGCCAUUUACACCAACAUUCUUAGUCACUGAAGGAUCAAACUGUAAAACGUGUGAGAUAAUCUGUGGAUAAGAAAGAUAGAAAGUAUUAUAGCAACCAUUUACACCAACAUUCUUUAAGACUCAGAGUUAAAACCU